Molecule: ribosomal RNA, 253 nt
Filed under: uncultured bacterium
Lineage: Bacteria
Description: partial 16S ribosomal RNA
Rfam family: Bacterial small subunit ribosomal RNA
Source: RNAcentral
UACGUAGGUGGCAAGCGUUGUCCGGAUUUAUUGGGUUUAAAGGGUGCGUAGGCGGCGCGGUAAGUCGGGUGUGAAAUCUCGGAGCUUAACUCCGAAACUGCAUUCGAUACUGCCGUGCUUGAGGACUGGAGAGGAGACUGGAAUUUACGGUGUAGCGGUGAAAUGCGUAGAUAUCGUAAGGAAGACCAGUGGCGAAGGCGGGUCUCUGGACAGUUCCUGACGCUGAGGCACGAAGGCCAGGGGAGCAAACGGG